Cucumis melo (muskmelon) is the source of this 2829-nucleotide long non-coding RNA. RefSeq lists it as uncharacterized. NCBI's taxonomy places the organism in Eukaryota, Viridiplantae, Streptophyta, Magnoliopsida, Cucurbitales, Cucurbitaceae. The transcript is spliced from 3 exons. The record is from RefSeq and is a predicted model, not a curated record.
AGGGUCCAAAAUGGCCCACCGAAGUUGAAGCCAACUUUAAAAUUAGGGUUUUACCAUUAUAUAAAUAUAUCCGAAGCCCUAGCUUCCCGAACGUCGUCGAUCUCGUCACUCGCCUCGUUCGGCACACCAUUUUUCUCCUUUCGUGAUUCGGUUAGCAGUUCUUCAACAUGAGGGCUAAGUGGAAGAAGAAGAGAAUGAGGAGAUUGAAGAGGAAGCGCCGAAAGAUGAGGCAGAGAUCCAAGUAGUUUGUGUCUUCUUUAAAUAAAAAAAAGACAGCCGUUCUUUUAGUUUCUACUGAUCUAGGACGAGUAAUAGUUUAUUUUCUUGUGUUUUUGUUGGAUUUUUAUCGAGUUUUUUUAGUUUCGAUGAGCAAUUUUGUUGAACUUACUUCCCUCUGGGAUCUACAUUAUUGAAUUCACUUUCUGGAGUUUCUGAAAUAUCAGUUGAUGUUAUGUUGUUUGUCACCAUUAACUUAAAAACUUGAUUAUUUUUCUUUUUUGUUCUAGUAUAUUGCGGACCCAUUUCUAACAUUCCAUCGUUAUAAGCAUGUAAUCGUGAUAUUGUUGAUUGCUUUUAAAGUUGCAGUCGAUCAUCCCCAUUUAGACUGGAAUUGAACAGGAUUACUGAGAUACAACCAAAGUAUUAGUGAAGUUUGAAGAAUUUGUCUCAGAUCCAUUUUGAUUUUGGUAUUUGCGACCCAUUUUGUUAUCUCGAAUACAAUGUUCUGAUCAAACGAUUUUUUUCUUAUUAGCUUGUUCGCUCGAACUUAUUUCUGAUGCUUCGAACUCAUGUAAUGUUCUGUUUUACUUUAAUUUUCCGGAUUUAGUGUUGCAAUUAUGAGUGAGUGCUCUGUUUUAUACUUGUAAAAUGCAUCACUGUAAAUAAUGCUAGACAUAGAAAUGCGAAGAACAAAGUUCAUGUUCAUGUAAGGAAUGAAUGGCACAACGUUGCACUGGGUGGUUGCCAUCUAUGGCUUGUGGUGUCAGAUUUGGAUUCAAAAUUAUUGAACCUACUCAAUUACCAAUUUGUGCAUAGGCCUAAGAAAAGGGCUAGGAAAUUUGAUAGCACUCUUCCAAAACACUAGUUCUAUAUUUGAUCGAUUGAUUAUUAAAAGCUUUCUAUAUUUAAUUGAUGAUCAAUAAAACCAUUUCUUUUUGCCUUCAUGUUUGUUUUAUUCCCGCGAUGUAUUUGAAGGAUAAUAUUGUUCUUAUUUGUUUGUAGACAAUGGAAAGUGAAAUCACAUGUUUAAUUAUGAACUUCAAUGUGGUAUAAUCGGCACUAUUUAAAAUAUAAGAACAAAGGAAAUAAUUGAAUACUAUGAAUUUUUUCUUCACUGAUCAUUUAUGUUCACCUCUUCAGUCAAUGCAAGGUUCUGGAUUUGAACAAGAUUAAGUAUGCCAUGGUCUUAAGUUGCUAUAUGUUGUGUGAAGGGAAAACUAACAUAAUGAGAUAUAUUGGUGUUCUUUGACUCGUCCAUUUUCUAUUCUGUCUUUCCAAUACUACACUUAACGAAUCUUUUGAUGGAUUUUACCUAUCUAGUUUUGUUUUCCAACUUGGAAUCUUAAUACAGCUUCAAUUUCUCUCCUCAUUCUUCCUUCAAGAGGCUUCGGCUUUAUCACUUAUCUUUUUGUAAAUCCAUUGUAAUUGGAUUGAAGCUUCGUUUUCGAUCGAUAGCUCUAUUCGUAGUUAAAUAAUUGAAGAAGAGAAACUACUAUGAAUAUUGCGAAGGGAGGAAGAACCUCUGUCGUUUACUUCUAAUACGAUAGGUCGAGGCAGUUGAUGAUGAUGACAUUCGACUUAAAACUAACUUAAGAGACUGCUGAACAGUGUUUAAGCAGACACUUUUUUCACCAUCUUUAUUGCAAAGGAUAAGUAUGCUUUUAAUGCGACCACCAACACUGGCCAUAUCAGCUCUUAUUGUUGUGAGCUUCAAUCCUUUGAUCACUUGGAUGAGCUCUGUGAGCAGUUCUGGCCGAUCGUCACAACUCACCGAUACCUUUAUCGCAAUGUUAUUGCUGCUAUUGUCUUCAACCAUGGUGGAGUCGAUAGUUACUUCAUCCAUGUCUGUUGGAACUGUCAUGUUCUUACUGGCUUCCAUCGCUUUUCGUUUCAGGUCUUUCACUUGAUCUAUUGCGCUUCCCAACAAAGCUGCUUUAUCCAUCUGCCAUAGGAAACAAGAAGAUGGAUCUAAGCGUGUGCUGCAGAGUGUCUCUUUAAUGGUUUAUAUUUCUUCACAGAGUCAUCCCAUUAGAAAGAGACAAGGCUAGAGAGAGGAAGAGAGAGAGAGAGAGAGAGAGAGGAGUACCUUAUCAGAUUUGGGAAUGAGUUUCCUAAGAGUUGCAAGCUGAGCAUUGAUUCUGUCCCUACGUCUCUUUUCUGCUUGGCUAUGGCUUUUUGAAGCAGAAGCUGCUCUAUCUUCAACAAUGAUUCCUUCUGAUGGACUUGAAAAUGACGGGAAGAACUCAUUUGAGCUUGAAAACUGAGGAUUAAUCAUCCAUGGAUGAAGAAGAGAAGCUUCAUGGCUUGAAUUGGGAUUGCAGUGAUCAAAAUUUAGCCCCUCAGGCUUAGUAGAACGAUCCCAGUUAUUAUCUUCCAUAACUGAUGCAAAAGAGGAGGCAGGGGCCAGUCUCGUGAAAUCAAACUCAAAAGUUUGGUUUUUAUGGUUGCAUCUGGAGAGAUACUGUUGAUUGCACUAAUAAUAAUGUGUUGUUGGUGGUGUUGUUGAUGUUGUUGUUGUUGUGUGUGUGUGUGAUCUUCAAAUCUUGAUGGUGAUUGGUGUGAUGUCCAAUAGCCUUUAAUUUGUCAAAACGAAAAUCAUAUUUGGCCGUA